This 206-nucleotide long non-coding RNA is filed under the name Rattus norvegicus (Norway rat). Its description in RNAcentral is "long non-coding RNA NONRATT033093". Lineage: Eukaryota; Metazoa; Chordata; Mammalia; Rodentia; Muridae. The record is from RNAcentral.
AUUAAACUUUGGAAAUUGCUAGACAUCAGCAAGUACCCAUUUUAGUGCCACGAUUCAGUGCAGGUUCCUCGGCGACCAUAAACGAUUGGAAAGGAAGAGUGUUCCUCACUCACCACUGCAGAAAAAUCUCCAGUGUACACUCAGCACAGCGAAGACCAGGAACGGCCGAGAAGCCAUUAACGUCCAGCUGGCUCCAUUCUUCAUGG